This is a long non-coding RNA of Zalophus californianus (California sea lion), 599 nucleotides long. RefSeq lists it as uncharacterized. The transcript has 3 exons. NCBI's taxonomy places the organism in Eukaryota, Metazoa, Chordata, Mammalia, Carnivora, Otariidae. The record is from RefSeq and is a predicted model, not a curated record.
UUUGGUGAAAGCUUGGCAUUGGCAGGGUUUUCUUCUUUUGUUCUAACCUUCUUUAUUCCUGACCAUCACUGCUAGGAACUGAAAGCAGAGAGCCCUGUGGGCCAGACCACUCCUUCAGACUGGGUCAGAAAUAGAAGGGCUUCUCCAUGAGAGCAGCAUUUGCCUAUGGAGCCCUUCUGUGUGCUCCAUUCUAGCCCCCUCCCAGCACCUUUCAGCUCUAGGCUGGCAGUUAUUUUUGCCUCUGACAGUUAACUACUCAAUCUUUUCUGCUUCCAGCAAAUGCCCCUGGCACCCUAGCUUCACACACUCCCCAAAUCAAUGCCUUUCUUCUGCCAUUCUCCUCUUCCAUCACAUUCCCCAUGUAAUAGAGAGACUCGUCAGAGAUGUACUAUUUUUUCCGUUGCAAUCGAGAGUAUACGUGUGACAAUUCCCGUUGUGCCUCGUAGCAAGGAGGAAAGUUAAUGAGGGUUCCCAAGAGGCAAGAUGGAUCUCAUAACUGGCUUGGAUGUUGAGAUUGAUAAUGUCACACACGCACCAAGAGGAGAAGAAAAAUUUCUCUCCCAAACAUGUCCAAAUAUGGUUUGAGAGACAAAGGAGAG